GCACUGGAAAAGCGUCAGAGCUCCCUCGCAGGGAGCUUGGGGCCUGUCACGGGGCCAGGACAAGGGCAGGCAGCAGGGCCAGAGAUGACCAAGAGGUGGGGAAUGGGAACAAGCCACUAGUUAUCUAGCAAUGUGGAAGUCACUGCUGAGCAGCGUAGACGAGCCAAAAGGGCUGGGGGAGGAGACAGGGAUGGCGUCGCCUUUUUCAGCAGGCUGAAGCUCCCUGGGGUCACAACUGGCUGCUCAUCUUGCUAUCCCCAGGCUCAGUGGACAUGCAGGGCAGGCCCAGUGCAAGGCCUCCCUUGGAAGCUCAGGACAAUCUACAAAUGGCCCUAUCAUCAGAAAUCUGUCCAACCUGGCAGCUACAGACAGUGUCUUCAUCUCAGGGCCAGCAGCCGGCUAUCCAGGCCCACCAGGAAGAAGUGGGGAUUGGCCAUGCAGAUUCUCCAAGACCCUGGCCAGAGGAUGUGGGGUUGUCCUAAUUCUUAUCCCAAUGUUUGAGCCUUAUCCCACACCCCUGGAAAGUUGGGUUUUUACCUCUUAUUUUAUAGCUGAAAAAAUUGAAGCCCAGAGAUUGAAGCUGCAAUCCUGAGGUCACACAGUAAGUACAGACCAUGUAGGAAUCAAACUCAUGUGUUCCAAACUAAAGCUGGUGCCCUUAAGUGUAAACUACACUGGCUGAAGAUGCUCACCUUUCAUCUUGCUUAAUAUCCUGCAUUGUCAUUUUCUUUGAUAUCUGUCCGUAUGUCUGUCUCCCACUUAUCUGAGGAUCUCAGAGGACAGGGAUCAGGUGAGCUUCAUCAUUGAUUCUUGGGUCCCAGGACCAGGCCUCGUAUAGAGGAGAUGGCUGGCUGGCUGGCUGGCUGGCUGGCUAAACUCUAGGUCAGAAUUUGGAAGGAACUACAUGAGAAAAUCAACAAUGCUCCCAAUACGGUAAAGGUCUUAGAAAGCGGCU
RNAcentral lists this long non-coding RNA (955 nucleotides) under Chinchilla lanigera (long-tailed chinchilla). RNAcentral describes it as "lncRNA (ENSCLAG00000028277.1)". The record is from RNAcentral. Lineage: Eukaryota; Metazoa; Chordata; Mammalia; Rodentia; Chinchillidae.